CAGCGCUGUAUUACUUGACAAUUCUGCACCACUUAGCUAUGGAGAUAUGCUACAGGGUAUUCCUUCAUGAAAGAGUUGUUCUGAAGCCUUACAUGCUAGUAAAAUGAGAUGAAUAGGCUCAUGUUGUCAUGAAUCUCCCUUCCUGAAGUAUGAAAAGGUACCAAAAAAAGAGGACAAAAGAAACAGGCCUAGAAGGUAAGGACAAGUUGACUUCACUCAGACAAAACAGAAUAUUUCAAAUAAAGAAAGAAAUGAGAGGAGUAGAUAAAAGUGAUGAAUUGAUGAGUAUCCCCUGGCUUUUUUUCAGAAUCGUCUAUCUGCUCAGAUUCACAUAGAUGAAGGAGAACAAGGCAGGUGAUGUUGUACUGAUGCCUUAAGGAGAUUAAAGUCAUGGGUUUGAGGAAUGCUGGAACAUGUGGAAUAAACAAUCUGAGUCUUCUUUCUUCCA
This 448-nucleotide long non-coding RNA is filed under the name Cyanistes caeruleus (blue tit). RNAcentral's name for it is "lncRNA (ENSCCEG00000022814.1)". Lineage: Eukaryota; Metazoa; Chordata; Aves; Passeriformes; Paridae. The record is from RNAcentral.